This 278-nucleotide long non-coding RNA is filed under the name Mytilus galloprovincialis (Mediterranean mussel). Lineage: Eukaryota; Metazoa; Mollusca; Bivalvia; Mytilida; Mytilidae. The record is from RNAcentral.
UCAGGAUGCCAUUUAUGCAUCAAUAUUGAAAAAUCUAUAAAAUGCCUAUUUUGACCAUAAAAUGCCAAAAUUGGUCAUUUUUUGCAGAAAUUUUAAAAUAAAAGUUUAAAUCCUUUAGUUUCAUGCUAUUUGACAAAUUGACACCAUCAAAUCAUUUAGGGAAGUUGCCAAAGUACAGAUUCUAUAUUUACAGAUUUCACCUCUAAGGUCCGAGACCUCAAUUAUUUCGUAGUGCAUUUCUUUUAGAACAUAAAUGAAAAUUAAAAAAAAUCCCACCU